GAACACUCCAAAGGGGAGUAGCUUUCACAGUAAAGUCGUCAUUACGGGACAAGGUGUCCUCGGCUUUGCUGGCAAUCUCAUUGUUAGCGAGACCUUUGCCAAAUCU
This 106-nucleotide unclassified non-coding RNA is filed under the name Bacillus subtilis. RNAcentral describes it as "yybP-ykoY". The record is from RNAcentral. Lineage: Bacteria; Bacillati; Bacillota; Bacilli; Caryophanales; Bacillaceae.